AUGGCCACCUGGCAGGAAUCCGUGACAUCAUCCAUCUUGGAGUCUAAAGUUCAACCACAAUCUUCUGUAAUCUCAAAACUGACUGGUGCUGGAGACCUAGGGGUAAAACCCCUACCCCUUGGGCACCCCAAAAGGGGAAAUCUGUGGAGGGAAGGGAACAGGAAGUUUUCAUGGCUGGGAGAGAUUCUGAGAAGACUUUCCCAGGCAGCCCUGAUGGGUACACAAGGAAUUACAGGGCCAAAGAGGAGUUGUGGUCGGCUCCUGUGUGCCUCUGUGUGCUUUCCAAAUGGUGACAGUGAACCCGUGUUGCAUAAGGAAACUUUCAAACUUACAGAAGAGUGGAGAGACUCGCACAAAGAUGCCAUUACCCGUUACCAGCCUCAUCAGUCAGCAAUGUGGAGUCCCCUCCUGAAUGAGGGGGCUUGAGAUCCUUGGCUGGAAUACACAGCACCAGCGCCGAGCUCUCAGGGUAAAAUGUAAUCUGACAGGAAGGAGAGCCAACAGCUGCGGCACGGGACUUUUGUAUUAAAGGCAGAAAAUAAAGUUAUAUAUAAAAAGAGAUCACCA
Molecule: long non-coding RNA, 567 nt
Filed under: Canis lupus familiaris (dog)
Lineage: Eukaryota; Metazoa; Chordata; Mammalia; Carnivora; Canidae
Description: lncRNA (ENSCAFG00000058502.1)
Source: RNAcentral